Molecule: unclassified non-coding RNA, 1246 nt
Filed under: Zea mays
Lineage: Eukaryota; Viridiplantae; Streptophyta; Magnoliopsida; Poales; Poaceae
Description: misc RNA Zm00001eb316600
Source: RNAcentral
GGUCGCGACAGGUGGCCAGCCGAAACCGGGAGGCAGGAGCGCGAGGCAGAGGGGCAGCGUCAUCACCCGGGCGCGCGCCAACGACAACGAGGCCGAGGCCGGAAAUAACACGCCGGGCGGGCGGGUCACUGCUGCUGCCUUUGCCGCUGCGCGUCCGCGGAAGGGGACGCGUCCCCGUCCGUCUUCCCACUUUUCCCCGAUAAAACCACGGGCGCCUCUCGUCCAUUCCUCGCUCGCCCACCCUCCCCGCGGAUCACAGACAGCCUGUGCCCGCCUUCCAGUCCACAAUCUCCCUGCCUCUCCUCUCCCACCCUCCCUCCGAAAAGCAAGCUCCGGCCCGGACCGCCCCACCGCGCGCGCGCAUACACAGAGAGAGAGAGAGAGACCGCACGGUCGUUCGGGGUUCCUUUGGCCAGGCGCACGACACGAGCAUGGCGCAGCGCGACAAGAAGGAGGAGCCCACGGAGCUGCGGGCGCCGGAGAUCGCGCUCUGCGCCAACAACUGCGGCUUCCCGGGCAACCCGGCCACGCAGAACCUGUGCCAGAGCUGCUUCUCGGCGUCGAGGUCGUCGUCGUCGUCUUCGCAGCCGUCCCCUACCUCCUCUCCCUCAGCUUCCGCGCCGGCCGCCGCGGUGCCGCAGCCGAGGCCGGCGCUCCUGGACGCGGCGCUGCAGCUGGCGCCUCCGGCCGCGGCCGCGGGCCAGCCUGUGGAGGCCUCGGCCAGGACUUCUGCCAACCGGUGCUCCAGCUGCCGGAAGCGCGUGGGGCUGACGGGGUUCCGGUGCCGCUGCGGCGACCUGUUCUGCGGCGCGCACCGGUACUCGGACCGCCACGGCUGCCGCUACGACUACAGGGGCGCCGCCCGGGACGCCAUCGCCCGGGAGAACCCGGUGGUGCGCGCGGCCAAGAUCGUUAGGUUCUGAUUCGACCGGCGGGCGGAGGAAGGAAUUGCAGAGAGGGAAAACGAAGAUUCCAAGGGCGGAAGGGGGGAAAGGCAUGCGAAAUCAGAGAGGUCUUCGGUGUUACUACUAUGCUGUUCUUGGACGUGUUUGAUUUUUAAUCUCCUUUUAUAUAUAUAUAUAUAUAUAAUUUUCCUACGGAGGUGGGAGGAGAGGAGGUGGACGAAGAAUAGUGUAAUGAUAAUGGUGGUGGUGCAGCGGCGGUGGUUGAGGGCCCAAAACGAUGAACACAUGGGGUUGGGUUGGGUGUAUGUAUCUAUCUGUCACACGCAGCUUUUGUGCAAGAC